RNAcentral lists this ribosomal RNA (511 nucleotides) under uncultured bacterium. RNAcentral describes it as "partial 16S ribosomal RNA". It matches the Rfam family "Bacterial small subunit ribosomal RNA", at positions 29 to 507 of the family's 1533-position model. The record is from RNAcentral.
AUGAACGCUGGCGGCGUGCCUAAUACAUGCAAGUCGAACGAAACUUCUUUAUCACCGAGUGCUUGCACUCACCGAUAAAGAGUUGAGUGGCGAACGGGUGAGUAACACGUGGGCAACCUGCCCAAAAGAGGGGGAUAACACUUGGAAACAGGCGCUAAUACCGCAUAACCAUAGUUACCGCAUGGUAACUAUGUAAAAGGUGGCUAUACUACCGCUUUUGGAUGGGCCCGCGGCGCAUUAGCUAGUUGGUAGGGUAAAGGCUUACCAAGGCAAUGAUGCGUAGCCGAAUUGAGAGGUUGAUCGGCCACAUUGGGACUGAGACACGGCCCAAACUCCUACGGGAGGCAGCAGUAGGGAAUCUUCCACAAUGGGCGAAAGCCUGAUGGAGCAACGCCGCGUGGGUGAAGAAGGUCUUCGGAUCGUAAAACCCUGUUGUUAGAGAAGAAAGUGCGUGAGAGUAACUGUUCACGUUUCGACGGUAUCUAACCAGAAAGCCACGGCUAACUACGUG